GCGUGCCUAACACAUGCAAGUCGAACGAGAAAGCUCCUUCGGGAGUUAGUAGAGUGGCGCACGGGUGAGUAACACGUGGAUAAUCUGCCUGAUAAUCUGGGAUAACAUUUCGAAAGGGAUGCUAAUACCGGAUAAGCCCACAGCCUCUUCGGAGGCAGCGGGAAAAGAUGGCCUCUUCUUGAAAGCUAUUGUUAUCAGAUGAGUCCGCGGUCCAUUAGCUAGUUGGUAGGGUAAUGGCCUACCAAGGCAACGAUGGAUAGCUGGUUUGAGAGAAUGAUCAGCCACACUGGAACUGAGACACGGUCCAGACUCCUACGGGAGGCAGCAGUGGGGAAUUUUGCGCAAUGGGGGAAACCCUGACGCAGCAACGCCGCGUGAGUGAUGAAGGUUUUCGGAUCGUAAAGCUCUGUCAAGAGGGAAGAAACCUCCAAUGGUUAAUAUCUGUUGGAAUUGACGGUACCUCUAGAGGAAGCACCGGCUAACUCCGUGCCAGCAGCCGCGGUAAUACGGAGGGUGCAAGCGUUGUUCGGAAUUAUUGGGCGUAAAGCGCGUGUAGGCGGUUUGUUAAGUCUGAUGUGAAAGCCCCGGGCUCAACCUGGGAAGUGCAUUGGAAACUGGCAAACUUGAGUACGGGAGAGGGAAGUGGAAUUUCGAGUGUAGGGGGUGAAAUCCGUAGAUAUUCGAAGGAACACCAGUGGCGAAGGCGGCUUCCUGGACCGAUACUGACGCUGAGACGCGAAAGCGUGGGGAGCAAACAGGAUUAGAUACCCUGUAGUCCACGCCGUAAACGAUGGGUACUAGGUGUUGCGGGUAUUGACCCCUGCAGUGCCGAAGCU
This 836-nucleotide ribosomal RNA is filed under the name uncultured bacterium. RNAcentral describes it as "bacterial SSU rRNA". It matches the Rfam family "Bacterial small subunit ribosomal RNA", at positions 42 to 853 of the family's 1533-position model. The record is from RNAcentral.